RNAcentral lists this ribosomal RNA (255 nucleotides) under uncultured bacterium. RNAcentral's name for it is "partial 16S ribosomal RNA". It matches the Rfam family "Bacterial small subunit ribosomal RNA", at positions 524 to 776 of the family's 1533-position model. The record is from RNAcentral.
UACGUAGGGCGCAAGCGUUAUCCGGAAUUAUUGGGCGUAAAGAGCUCGUAGGCGGUUUGUCGCGUCUGCCGUGAAAGUCCGGGGCUCAACUCCGGGAUCUGCGGUGGGUACGGGCAGACUAGAGUGAUGUAGGGGGAGACUGGAAUUCCUGGUGUAGCGGUGAAAUGCGCAGAUAUCAGGAGGAACACCGAUGCGAAGGCAGGUCUCUGGGCAUUAACUGACGCUGAGGAGCGAAAGCAUGGGGGAGCGAACAGG